GGCACUAUAUUAUCUAUUGCAACGGUUCUGUUUUUAAUAAAUCAUUGUUGCAAACACAAUAGACCAUAUCAAAUGACAUUGCACUCACAUAUAUUAAUUUAUACUCAAUCAUUAUCCAAUAGUCCGACAAAUGAUUCAAAUAGUAGUUAAAAUGACAAAUGAAGUUCUCUCAUUAUUCCAAAAAUUUUAAAAAUUUUCAACUAGACUAGACUUCCUAACAUCUAUGCAGCCCGUGAGAUGAGUUUUCUUUCAGCGCCACAUGUCAUCAUCUCACCAAUGUUGUUGCUUGACGAGCCUCCCUCUGAAAUCUUGUAUACCUACUGCCAAAAGAGUAAGAUUAAGAUAUUAGAAAACCUCUAUGUUUAGUACUUCAUGCCCAAAAUAUAAAUUCAGAACUUAGGAAAUUAUAUAUGCAUGUGAGACAAGAAAAAAUUAAGAAUAUGCUCAAGUACAGCUCUAGACCAAAUGUGUAGUGGACUAUAAAAUUAUAAUUACUUGUCUAGACAAUGGAAAUUACAAAAACUACCACAUUCUGCAUAUAUUUCCCAUGAGGUGGCAAUGAUUUUCUGUAGACAAAGAAAAUCAUAAUUACUCCACCGACAAAAAUAAUUAUGUGGUUACUAACAAUAUUCCCUAUUGAUUUUUGAAAAUCCAGAAUUGGUUGUUCAGUUGUUCUGGGUUAUUACUGUUGUGUAGCACAAAGUACAGAAAGAAAGUAGAUCAGUUCUCCCUGAAUCUUGUAGCUUCUUUCAGUUAACUCUAACAGGAAACUAUUAAAAAAAAGAACAGCUACCCCUACUUCCUACAUCUUCUGCUUCCUUUUCCACAUCCUCUGCAAAAGAAACCUGGCCAGCAACCACCCUGGUUAAAAAAGUUAGGUGAUUCAAAUUGAUCUCCAGUAGUUUGUAUGUUGCAUAUUUACACUGAUUUUUUACACAUGAUUAGUUUUCAGAUGUUUGUUUUGAUUAAAAAAGAAAUCACUCUGUAGCCAUUCUAAUACAAAGAUAGCAAGAUAGUGAAAACAGGACGUGACAGAGCCAAAACGAUCACCUAAUGUAUGUGAAAGGUGCAACUUUUAUUCAUAACAAUUCUUGUGGAGGUCAGCUUCACAAUUGCAUCUUAAACCUAAGCCAUUAACUGCUAGUAAUAUAAAUUUUACAAUGUAGUAGUACUCAAUCAUUUAAGCACUUCAUAUGAGACAAAAAGAUUAGCAAACUAGAAAGAAUCUGCACACUGACUGUACGACCUGGAAGUGCUUUCUGAUGUGGAGUUCACCAAAUCCCAUUUUCCUGUAUGAGCAUUGAGAUUGCCUUUCCCGUGAACGACAUAAACCAAGACAUCUACAACUAUAAGAUAGAAUGACAUACUAGCAGGGCAGGUUACCAGCAGUCUAGCAGUUAAUAAAUGCAACGACUAUCUAUUACUAGCAGUCUUUCAUAUGAGAAAGAAUAUGUUUUGCAAGAGCUACAUAAAUUAACUUAGAAUUCAAUCCCAAAUUAGUAAGAUCUGGAGAAUAAAGAUGCCUAAUAACAUGAGCUUCAUAUUCAUUCACGAAUCUUCACAUUUACAGAACAUAGAUAGCUAAUAUAAUCUUAACAUACCUAAUUUAAUCUUAACAUAGGCUCACCUUGUGCCAUGUAGCGAAGGUGACCCACCUCAUUGGAUCCAGAUCAUUUGUUAAUGUGUCAGUUAUUAAAGGCAAUAUUUUCCUUUUCUUGUGGGAGUGUGUGGUGUGUGUUUUAUACACGGUUUUUGCACUUUUUUCAACUUAUAUGUGUUCCACACAAAAAUGGGAUAAUAACAGAUUAAAUGAAAACAGUUAAACAACAGCAGUUAAAGCCGAGACUCAUCUCCACAAAUUGCCGCUAUGCAAGAUAACUUGCUAAACCUGACAGAUCAUAAGCCAAUCCUCUGUCAGGAACCCAGGACAACACCUUCUAACCCAAAAUACAUUAGACAGAGGAUUAAAAAUCCGAGGAGGCACUCACAUCGACGAUGGCACCCGCUGCCUGGGUUAGCACCGGAGAGAUGUCCAGCAGAUCACGCCUGCACAGCAGAAGAAAAACAGAAAAGUUAAGGAAUGGAGAAGUAAGGACCGAUUGAGAUAGGGUCUAGGGCAACUACAGAUGGAGAUUAUGGGGCGCCUCCUGCGGGAGCGAGACGGAUUGAAGGUAGUCCUCCAGGUUCGGGCGGUCUAGCUCCAUGUCCGCCGCCACAGACGAGCUCGCCAUCGCCUCCGGCCUCUGGCCGCCGGCCGCACGCCCGCCGCCGGUGAGAUGGCGUUGACGCAGAGGAAAAGCUAUGCGAUGGGGAGAGGCUCACCACGUGGAUGGGCGUAACGACCCGCGCGAAGCCGCCUGCCGGAUGCUCUUGCCGCCGGCCACCGCCUCGAGCAGAAGCGCCGUGCCACUAGUGCGUGAAUGAGAUUGGACACUAGGAAGACAAGCUAGGGUUUGGUGUUUUUAUAUGCAGAAGGUGGAUGUCAGAUCAUUUCAUCCAUCAGAUCGAGAAUCAACGGUUAUAACAUCAUGUGCCGGUGGGCUGUUGGGCUGAAUUUAGGUUUUAUUUUUCCUGUUCUUUAGCUAGCUAACAUAUAUUUAAUUCUUGCUUAAAAUACAUCUAAUAUAAAUGCAAAUCAUAGUACAAUAUUUUUUGUCGCAGUCUCUAUGCGUCCAAAAACAAUUUUAAUUAACAUAAACUAGACUACACGUCAUAUCAAAUGAAUUAAACAAGCACAAAUGUUUUAUUUAACCUCAAAUCUUAAAAAUCAGUUAAAAAUAAAAUGUUUUGUUAGUGGGAUUACUCGAACGUAAAUUUGCAUUUGACCUCACAUCCUGAAACUAGACUAUAUGUUAUAUCAAAUAAAGUAACUUUGAAAGCUUAAGACAUCAGAAAUAGACAAGUCAUGUGGAGACAUAUCGUUAUAGUUAAGAGUUCUUCAAAAUGGUGCACGGCCUUUGUGAAGCAUGUAUAAUAAGCCAAUGUCGAAAUUACUUGAAUCUUUUUCUGCAUGCAUGAAGGCACAAAUCAUGACCCCACACCAAAUAUUAGAAUUUUCUGAUCAAAUUAGAGAAUUACUGAAUUUAUUUAUCGCUAAAACUAAGAAAGGAGGGCAAGUUAAACCUUGAAAAUAAGAUAUUUUGACAUCCUCCUCAUCAAAAAUGGUUUCUUGUAGCAUGUGAGACCUAGUAUAGAAUUUUGGGACCAUUUUGCAUAAUUUGUGAGGUAGCCUUAGUUCACCUAUAAUUACGACAUUCAACCGCAUAGAAAUUCAUUUAAAUGAAAUAAAAUAGAAAAACACUUAAAAAAACCUAAAACUUAGCUAUUUCUCAUAUCGUGGCACGCAUAAGCUUGAGAAAAAAUUUGAGCAUCUUACAACAUUGAAAUGGAUGAGUCACAUGGUGACCCAUAAGUUGUAGUCAAGGUUCUUCGAAAUGGUGCAUAGACUUUGUGAAGCAUGUACAAUACGCCGGUGUCAAAAUGACCUAAAACUUUUUUUUAUGUGCAUGAAGGCCCAAAGCAUGCCCUCAAGUGAAAUCUUAGAUUUUUCUGAUCAAAUUAGAUAAUUACUGAAUUUAUUUAGUUCAGCCUACAAUUACGAUGUCCAACUAUGUAGAAAUUCAUUUAAAUGAAAUAAAAUAGCAAAGCACUUUCAAAAAAUCUGAAACUUAGCAUUUUCUCAUAUUGUGGCAUGCACAAGCUUGAGAAAAAGUUUAAGCAGCUUAGGACAUUGAAAUGGAUGAACACGUAGUUACUGUUUUCUUAUACUUUAAUUGAAUUACUCAAUUGCCAGAAAAUAUAUAAAAAUACCAAUGUACUCAACCAAGACAAAGACGGAGCUCAGUGGUCGUUGCUGCUCCUCGUGGGAUAACCGUCUGAGGUUCGAAGCCCCUCCUGCCGGCCUGGUAUGUGUGCGUGUUUUUUAUGUUUUCUUUUUGUUAAUUAUUAAAUCAUUAUUAAAAAACAAAUUAUUAUGUGUAUAUAUAUAUACAUAAGCAAAGAUUUACACAUAUAUAUAGAUAUACACAAAUAUUUUGACACUAAUUGAGUUUCCACACUAAAAAUAAAGAAAUGUGUACACAUAUAAAUGUAUUAAUAUUUAAUUAUUAUUUCAACAUUUAUUUAUUGUAAAGAAAUGUGUACAUAUAUUAUUACAACAUUUAUUUAUUGUUCUUCAUAUCGUAUAGGUGUACACUUUUAUUUACUAUUUGAAAGAAUUAAAAAUAAAUAUUAUUUACAUAUUUUAUAUACAUCUUGGUUUAU
Molecule: long non-coding RNA, 4263 nt
Filed under: Sorghum bicolor (sorghum)
Lineage: Eukaryota; Viridiplantae; Streptophyta; Magnoliopsida; Poales; Poaceae
Description: long non-coding RNA (SBIC_LNC014111)
Source: RNAcentral